AUUGAACGCUGGCGGCAGGCCUAACACAUGCAAGUCGAGCGGAUGAAGGGAGCUUGCUCCUGGAUUCAGCGGCGGACGGGUGAGUAAUGCCUAGGAAUCUGCCUGGUAGUGGGGGAUAACGUCCGGAAACGGGCGCUAAUACCGCAUACGUCCUGAGGGAGAAAGUGGGGGAUCUUCGGACCUCACGCUAUCAGAUGAGCCUAGGUCGGAUUAGCUAGUUGGUGGGGUAAAGGCCUACCAAGGCGACGAUCCGUAACCGGCCUGAGAGGAUGAUCAGUCACACUGGAACUGAGACACGGUCCAGACUCCUACGGGAGGCAGCAGUGGGGAAUAUUGGACAAUGGGCGAAAGCCUGAUCCAGCCAUGCCGCGUGUGUGAAGAAGGUCUUCGGAUUGUAAAGCACUUUAAGUUGGGAGGAAGGGCAGUAAGUUAAUACCUUGCUGUUUUGACGUUACCAACAGAAUAAGCACCGGCUAACUUCGUG
This 484-nucleotide ribosomal RNA is filed under the name uncultured bacterium. Its description in RNAcentral is "partial 16S ribosomal RNA". It matches the Rfam family "Bacterial small subunit ribosomal RNA", at positions 30 to 507 of the family's 1533-position model. The record is from RNAcentral.